Molecule: ribosomal RNA, 442 nt
Filed under: uncultured bacterium
Lineage: Bacteria
Description: bacterial SSU rRNA
Rfam family: Bacterial small subunit ribosomal RNA
Source: RNAcentral
AACGCGAAGAACCUUACCUGGGCUCGAAGCGCAGUGGAUAUGGGUGGAAACAUCCCUUUCUCGCAAGAGACUGCUGCGGAGGUGCUGCAUGGCUGUCGUCAGCUCGUGUCGUGAGAUGUUGGGUUAAGUCCCGCAACGAGCGCAACCCUUAUCGUUAGUUGCCAGCGAGUCAAGUCGGGCACUCUAGCGAAACCGCCUCGGAUAACGGGGAGGAAGGUGGGGAUGACGUCAAGUCAUCAUGGCCUUUAUGUCCAGGGCCACACACGUGCUACAAUGGGCGGUACAAAGCGCUGCCAACCCGCGAGGGGGAGCUAAUCGCCAAAAACCGUCCUCAGUUCGGAUUGCAGGCUGCAACUCGCCUGCAUGAAGCUGGAAUCGCUAGUAAUGCUAUAUCAGAACGAUAGCGUGAAUACGUUCCCGGGCCUUGUACACACCGUGUCGA